UUCCCCAAACCUAAAGUAUCUCCCAAGCCUCUCCCAGUCUGGGCUGCCGAUGGCUUGAAGAGUUCUUCCAUUCCCAUGGUACCCAUUCCCAUUUUUCUAAACGUUACCCUCAGAAGUCACAGAAGAAAAAAAGAAAAGCGCCGUAUUAAAUCAAGAAAUGUGUCCUGAGGGAAAAGAUGUGAAGAUUGAUUCCUGGAGGUCUCACAUCCACAGGCCAAAGAUGACUUUCCCCUGACAUUUCCAACAAGGGCAUUCAUUUCCCAAAACAUCUUGUCACUUUAUUCACAUUAGAGCCCUUUUGCACAGUAGCGUACUAUACAUUGGAAAGCUUCUUGGUUAGCGUGAUGACUCCGUUUCAGCCAACCAAAUCAAUUUACGUUAACCGAGGCGCAAGCUAACCGAGGUUCCACUGUAGUAGCGAGCUAACGGGCUCGCUAAUAAAACCAUAAAAUGGCCAACGUAUGCUAACCAAGAUUCCACUUUCAAUGUUCAAGCGGGGGCAUAUGUGUUUCACCUGAAAAACUGAGGUGUCCAAAGUGCGGCCCGGGGACCAUUCGCGGACUGCGGCUCACUGUAGGAAUCAAAUUAAACAAAAAGAAAACACAAAUAUAAACGUGCUGACUGUGGUGGGUGACCCUACCAACUAACCGGAACUACCUGCCUCAUCACCGAAAUCCGACCAGAACUGGGCUCCCGGGACAAAGUGGGGCGGAACUUUCAGCCUUUUAGCCGAACUGCUGCAUGUUUCCUCGCCGGUCCCUUCAGCUGGACGUCUGUUACGGGUAGAACCAGUCUAUCCUUGUGAGGUAGGAAAGAAACACAUUCAUCUCCCCGAGUUUGACUGCACCUGUUCCUCUGGUCAGCGAGGACAGCAUUACAACCAUUGCUGGCGUCAAGUUCUCCACUGUGACUUUGUAAUUGUCCAGGCUCGAAUUAGUCAGGUAAACAAAGCCUCUCAGUCGUCCCAAAUGAGAUGUAUCUGACCGGCCUGACCGGAAUAAAACCGGCCAUCAAUUCCUCAUGGAUGAUUUGGAAGUAAUCGGUCAUCCUCGUCCAUGUGUCCCCACACUUCCUCGGUUUGCAUGCGAGCUGGUUCUGCUGCAGAACCCACUCCGUAUCCUACAUCCACACAACUAUUGCUCACUGCUCAGCCCUCGUCCUCCCCCUCCCUGUCUUCAACCGUGUCACGGUACAUACUUGGCAUUUGGAGACGGAGCGCUCUUCCCUUACCAAGUGUGGCACCAGUCAGAAAUACUUGCUGCUACCUCUUCCAAGGCCAAUAUGCACUGAAAUUAUUAUUUGUUUUUUUUUAUAUAUGGGCUAUAUAUGUGGAUAUGAUACUGGGGGGUUGGCCCAUGAUGAAAUGACUCGUUCCAACACGUUAUGCAUGUUACUGACCACAGCACACGUAAACUAUGUGGCACAACGACAAAGGUGACAGUGUGGUCUGCAGUCAUGUGGUGGACCAAGGCAAAGGCAAAGAGUAUUGUGUGCUUUUGUGAAGAGUAGUAUUGUGUGAAUCAGCCAUGGCAACCGAUGACAAAGCGAUAUCACAAAUUGGUGGGCGGAUCCCUCAGAUAUUGACAUUAAGGCUACCAGGGUAGCAACCAGGGUAGCAUUUGUAUCGAUAUCAGCAGAUUGAGAAAUUAAAUGAUAGUCAUUGUUUUUUGUUGGACUUAAUAUUUGUCUGUUGAAAUAAAGUUUUUGUAAUAAUUCAUUUAUUUGAUGAAUUUUACUAAACUGACAGGCAGCACAGUGGUUAGCAUUUUGCUAAUUUCACAAGAUAGACGAGGAUGGGUUUGUCCUGUACUGGUCUGACCCACAUACUACAGCAGAGGCUGUCACACAGCUACAGGGUUUGCCCCCUUGCCCCUUUCUUACAGUAUUUUUUUCACACUUCAAUGUUUCAUAUCGUCAAACAAAUUUUAAUAUGUCAACACAAGAUGCGUUUUUUAAAUCAAAGUUAUUAAGGGCGAAAAAAACCCUCUAAAAACUACAUGGCUAGUGGUUAGCAGCAACAAUUGCAGUCAAGCGUAACUUGCAAUGAGUCCCUUACAACGCUGUGGAGGGAAUUUGGCCCACUCUUUGCUGAAUUGUU
Molecule: non-coding RNA, 2098 nt
Organism: Doryrhamphus excisus (bluestripe pipefish)
Lineage: Eukaryota; Metazoa; Chordata; Actinopteri; Syngnathiformes; Syngnathidae
Source: RefSeq, a predicted model, not a curated record